Long non-coding RNA from Prosopis cineraria, 1346 nucleotides. RefSeq lists it as uncharacterized. Lineage: Eukaryota; Viridiplantae; Streptophyta; Magnoliopsida; Fabales; Fabaceae. The transcript is spliced from 2 exons. The record is from RefSeq and is a predicted model, not a curated record.
AAAAGUAGCCGGACGCAGAGGAAGGCAGAAUAUCCCUUUUGCACGAGCGAAGAAAAGCAGCCGGACGCAGAGGAAGGCAGGAAAAAGCUUCACUCUGCAGAAGACUCGCACGAAUGAGAGAGAAGAGGCGCAGGUGUGGCUCCAUCCAAGGUCAUGAUCAAAUUUUAGAACACAGCAAUCAGAGAGCAGUGAAGCACGCAAACAGUUUUCUAGCCUCUCACGCAAGCUCCAGACAAAGGAUAUCUUGUAUCCGUUUCUAUGGAUGUCGGUGAUGAAGAAGGGGGGCUCGGCAGAUGAAAUCUGGCGCCGUGUGACGAAGGAGAAGCUGAAUCAAGUCAGAGUUUGCAGAUUCAAUCUACCCAGGUAUUUUUUUGGGUCUUCAAUAUAAAGGAGAGAACGGAAGAGACCGAGAGGGCUGGAAGGAGAGAUUCAGGGAGAUUUCUGGAGAUCUGGGUUUUGAGAGAAGGAGCUGGUAGAGUUGAAGAGGUAGAAGAGAGUGAUCUGGGCAGAAACAGAGGACGCGGUCGAAGAGUACUGAAUAUUCAAAGGAAAGGGAGAAGAGCCGAUUGAAGAUACCCAUAUCUCCUUACUGUAAUAGAAGUGAAGAAAAGCAGUCGAUUGUAGAGGAAGGCAGUAUAUCCCUUUUGCACGAGCGAAGAAAAGCAGCUGGACGCAGGGGAAGGCAGGAAAAAGCUUCACUCUAUAGAAGACUCGCAUGAACGAGAGAGAAGAGAUGCAGGUGUGGCUCUAUCCAAGGUCACAAUCAAAUUUCAAAACGCAGCAAUCAGAGAGCAGUGAAGCACGCAAACAGUUUUCUAGCCUCUCAUGCAAGCUCCAGACAAAGGAUAUGUUUUAUCCGUUUCUAUGGAUGUCAGCAAUGAAGAAGGGCAGCUCGACAGAUGAAAUCCAAUGCCGUAUGAGGAAGGAGAAGUGGAAUUGAGUCAGAGUUUGCAGAUUCACGCUACCAGGUAUUUUUUUCAUCUUCAAUAUAAAGGAGAGAACAAAAGAGACCGAGAGGGGUGGAAGGAGAGAUUCAGGGAGAUUUUUAGAGUUAUGGGUUUUGAGAGAAGAAGCAGGUAGAGUUCAAGGGCUAGAAGAGAGUGAUCCAGGCAAAAAUAGAGGAUGCAAUCGAAGAGUACUGAAUAUUCAAAGGAAAGGGAGAAGAGCCAAUUGAAGAUACCCAUAUCUCUUUACUGUAAUAGGUUUGGAAUUAAAUUUUUCGUGCUUUACAUUCUUACUCUACCUUUUGAUCCUAUGAUCUAUUUCAUGUUCUACUCUAUAAAAGUUUGAUUAGCUUUACGAGUGCAGUAAUUUUGACUGUGUGCAUACUUUCGAAUUCCGUAUCA